CAUGCAUGUCUCAGUGCAAGCCGCACUAAGGUGAAACCGCGAAUGGCUCAUUAAAUCAGUUAUGGUUCCUUAGAUGGUGGACAGUUACUUGGAUAACUGUGGUAAUUCUAGAGCUAAUACAUGCAACUCGGUCUCGACCGGAUGCGGAAGGGACGCUUUUAUUAGAUCAAAACCAAUCGGGCGUUCGCGUCCGUUUGCCUUGGUGACUCUGAAUAAAUUGUGGCAGAUCGCACGGUCUCCGUACCGGCGACGCAUCUUUCAAAUGUCUGCCUUAUCAACUGUCGAUGGUAGGUUCUGCGCCUACCAUGGUUGUAACGGGUAACGGGGAAUCAGGGUUCGAUUCCGGAGAGGGAGCCUGAGAAACGGCUACCACAUCCAAGGAAGGCAGCAGGCGCGCAAAUUACCCACUCCCGGCACGGGGAGGUAGUGACGAAAAAUAACGAUACGGGACUCAUCCGAGGCCCCGUAAUCGGAAUGAGCACACUUUAAAUCCUUUAACGAGUAUCCAUUGGAGGGCAAGUCUGGUGCCAGCAGCCGCGGUAAUUCCAGCUCCAAUAGCGUAU
RNAcentral lists this ribosomal RNA (563 nucleotides) under Gyna sp. MNHN BL636. RNAcentral describes it as "SSU rRNA". It matches the Rfam family "Eukaryotic small subunit ribosomal RNA", at positions 50 to 602 of the family's 1831-position model. The record is from RNAcentral. Lineage: Eukaryota; Metazoa; Arthropoda; Insecta; Blattodea; Blaberidae.